RNAcentral lists this ribosomal RNA (253 nucleotides) under uncultured bacterium. Its description in RNAcentral is "partial 16S ribosomal RNA". It matches the Rfam family "Bacterial small subunit ribosomal RNA", at positions 524 to 776 of the family's 1533-position model. The record is from RNAcentral.
UACGUAGGGGGCAAGCGUUGUCCGGAUUUAUUGGGCGUAAAGAGCGUGUAGGCGGCCAGACAGGUCCGUUGUGAAAACUCGAGGCUCAACCUCGAGAUGUCGAUGGAAACCGUCUGGCUAGAGUCCGGAAGAGGAGUGUGGAAUUCCUGGUGUAGCGGUGAAAUGCGCAGAUAUCAGGAAGAACACCUAUGGCGAAGGCAGGUCUCUGGGCUGACACUGACGCUCAUGCACGAAAGCGUGGGGAGCAAACAGG